RNAcentral lists this ribosomal RNA (121 nucleotides) under Pseudomicrostroma juglandis. The record is from RNAcentral. Lineage: Eukaryota; Fungi; Basidiomycota; Exobasidiomycetes; Microstromatales.
AUCCACGGCCAUAGGACACAGAAAACAUCGCAUCCCGUCCGAUCUGCGCAAUCAAGCUGUGUACCGCCCAGUCAGUACCGGAGUGGGGGACCAUCCGGGAAUCCUGCCAGGUGCUGUGGUU